This 253-nucleotide ribosomal RNA is filed under the name uncultured bacterium. Its description in RNAcentral is "partial 16S ribosomal RNA". It matches the Rfam family "Bacterial small subunit ribosomal RNA", at positions 524 to 776 of the family's 1533-position model. The record is from RNAcentral.
UACGUAGGGUGCAAGCGUUGUCCGGAAUUAUUGGGCGUAAAGAGCUCGUAGGCGGUUUGUUGCGUCGGCUGUGAAAUCCCGAGGCUCAACCUCGGGUCUGCAGUCGAUACGAGCAAACUAGAGUGUUGCAGGGGAGACUGGAAUUCCUGGUGUAGCGGUGAAAUGCGCAGAUAUCAGGAAGAACACCCGUGGCUAAGGCGGCUCUCUAGUACGGUACUGACGCUGAGACGCGAAAGCGUGGGGAGCGAACAGG